This is a non-coding RNA of Zalophus californianus (California sea lion), 449 nucleotides long. NCBI's taxonomy places the organism in Eukaryota, Metazoa, Chordata, Mammalia, Carnivora, Otariidae. The record is from the annotation of a RefSeq genome assembly.
CAAGAACAAGUUCUUAGUGACUCUAAGUGACAGAAAGAAUGGACAAAUCCCUGGGCUUGCUCAUCCUUUGGUUACAACUAGACUGGGUGAGCAGUAAACAGGAGGUGAAGCAGAUUCCUGAAGCUCUGAAUAUCUGCGAACAGGACAGUGUGGUUCUCAACUGCAGUUACACAGAUGGCGCUCUUUAUUCCCUUCAGUGGUUUAGGCAGGACCCCGGGAAAGGGCUCACAUUCCUGUUGUUAAUUCAGUCAAAUCAGAGAGAACUAACAAGUGGAAGAAUUAAAGUCUCGUUGGAUACAUCGGCAAGACAGAGCACUUUAUACAUUGCAGCUUCUCAGCUCAGUGACUCAGCCACCUACCUCUGUGCGGUGAGGCACAGUGCUCAACAGGCUCCUGUCACCGAUACCCAAACUCUGCAGCUGGGGCUCCAGUUACGUGUUCUGUCUUGA